UACGGAGGUGGCAAGCGUUGCUCGGAAUCACUGGGCGUAAAGGGCGCGUAGGCGGGGAGGUAAGUCGGGUGUGAAAUCCCUCGGCCCAACCGGGGAACUGCGCCCGAGACUGCUUCUCUUGAGUCCCGGAGAGGAAGGUGGAAUUCCCGGUGUAGCGGUGAAAUGUGUAGAGAUCGGGAGGAACACCGGUGGCGAAGGCGGCCUUCUGGACGGUGACUGACGCUGAGGCGCGAAAGCGUCGGGAGCAAACGGG
Molecule: ribosomal RNA, 253 nt
Filed under: uncultured bacterium
Lineage: Bacteria
Description: partial 16S ribosomal RNA
Rfam family: Bacterial small subunit ribosomal RNA
Source: RNAcentral